CGCCCCCUAUACGUCAUCAUUGAGUAAACUUUGACCCGGAAUCUCACAGUCAGCAGACACUUCCUGGGAGGGAGGGUCUGCUGCUGAUUGGGUGGAAUGUGUCUGCUGGCUGUGAGGUUCCGGGUCAAAGUUUACUCAAUGAUGACGUAUAGGGGGCG
This 158-nucleotide microRNA precursor is filed under the name Pelobates cultripes (western spadefoot toad). The record is from RNAcentral. Lineage: Eukaryota; Metazoa; Chordata; Amphibia; Anura; Pelobatidae.